This 497-nucleotide ribosomal RNA is filed under the name uncultured bacterium. Its description in RNAcentral is "partial 16S ribosomal RNA". It matches the Rfam family "Bacterial small subunit ribosomal RNA", at positions 28 to 507 of the family's 1533-position model. The record is from RNAcentral.
GAUGAACGCUGGCGGCGUGCCUAAUACAUGCAAGUCGAGCGAACAGAUGAGGAGCUUGCUCCUCUGACGUUAGCGGCGGACGGGUGAGUAACACGUGGAUAACCUACCUAUAAGACUGGGAUAACUUCGGGAAACCGGAGCUAAUACCGGAUAAUAUAUUGGACCGCAUGGUUCAAUAGUGAAAGACGGUUUUGCUGUCACUUAUAGAUGGAUCCGCACCGCAUUAGCUAGUUGGUAAGGUAACGGCUUACCAAGGCAACGAUGCGUAGCCGACCUGAGAGGGUGAUCGGCCACACUGGAACUGAGACACGGUCCAGACUCCUACGGGAGGCAGCAGUAGGGAAUCUUCCGCAAUGGGCGAAAGCCUGACGGAGCAACGCCGCGUGAGUGAUGAAGGUCUUCGGAUCGUAAAACUCUGUUAUUAGGGAAGAACAAAUGUGUAAGUAACUAUGCACGUCUUGACGGUACCUAAUCAGAAAGCCACGGCUAACUACGUG